AGGGGACCCUCAAAGCAGCGUCCUGGACCCCAACUGGAGUGUCUGGACAACAUCCCGACGGAGUUCUGAGGAGGACCCUGUUUCUGCGACACCAAGGCAGAGGACUCAAGUGGGUUCCAGCAAAGAAUGUGAAGCCCUACUAUGCAUCGAAGCCUGCUGACGCCCCCACAUCAGCCAGUACUUCCGCAAGUACAAGCCAAGAAGCAAGCACGCAGACCUGAUGAGAAAGUGAUCUGCCAGAAACAGCUCAAGAAAAGAAUGGAGUUUUAUCGUU
Long non-coding RNA from Vidua chalybeata, 274 nucleotides. RefSeq lists it as uncharacterized. Lineage: Eukaryota; Metazoa; Chordata; Aves; Passeriformes; Viduidae. The record is from RefSeq and is a predicted model, not a curated record. The transcript has 2 exons.